AGAGUUUGAUCCUGGCUCAGAUUGAACGCUGGCGGCAUGCCUUACACAUGCAAGUCGAACGGUAACGCGGAGCAAUCUGGCGACGAGUGGCGAACGGGUGAGUAAUAUAUCGGAAUGUACCCUAGAGUGGGGGAUAACGUAGCGAAAGUUACGCUAAUACUGCAUACGAUCUGAGGAUGAAAGUGGGGGAUGCGCAAGCACCUCAUGCUCAUGGAGCAGCCGAUAUCUGAUUAGCUAGUUGGUAGGGUAAAGGCCUACCAAGGCUUCGAUCAGUAGUUGGUUUGACAGAACGACCAGCCACACUGGAACUGAGACACGGUCCAGACUCCUACGGGAGGCAGCAGUGGGGAAUUUUGGACAAUGGGCGCAAGCCUGAUCCAGCAAUGCCGCGUGAGUGAAGAAGGCCUUCGGGUUGUAAAGCUCUUUUGUCAGGGAAGAAAAGCUAUCCUCUAAUACAGGGUGGUCAUGACGGUACCUGAAGAAUAAGCACCGGCUAACUACGUGCCAGCAGCCGCGGUAAUACGUAGGGUGCA
Molecule: ribosomal RNA, 533 nt
Filed under: uncultured bacterium
Lineage: Bacteria
Description: bacterial SSU rRNA
Rfam family: Bacterial small subunit ribosomal RNA
Source: RNAcentral